This 311-nucleotide unclassified non-coding RNA is filed under the name Bartonella sp. An3ug. Its description in RNAcentral is "partial 16S-23S ribosomal RNA intergenic spacer". The stretch from base 48 to 121 matches the Rfam family "tRNA". Lineage: Bacteria; Pseudomonadati; Pseudomonadota; Alphaproteobacteria; Hyphomicrobiales; Bartonellaceae. The record is from RNAcentral.
UCAUAGUUUAAGAUGAUACCGGGGAAGGUUUUCCGGUUUAUCCCGGAGGGCUUGUAGCUCAGUUGGUUAGAGCGCGCGCUUGAUAAGCGUGAGGUCGGAGGUUCAAGUCCUCCCAGGCCCACCAAUUUAUGCUCAUUUAUUGUUGCUUAUUCUAAGCCCAUGAAGCUUAAGCGUGAAGCCUCUUUAAUCUUUGUUUAUUGUUAAAGAUUUUGUCUUAUCCUUCAAAGAUUGUUUAAGAUUAUUUUUUAAACCCGUGAAAUUUUGUUAAAAUAGCUUAGGCUAUGCAAGUUGAUAAAAUGGGUUAAGGUUGA